AAGGAGAGAGGAACAGAAAUGCUUUACAGAAAUUUCAGUUAUAUCCUUGCAGAAUGUUCUUGGUGAAUGACCCUUGCCUGGCUGUGCCAGUACCUCUGGCCAGGUGAAGAAGACUUCCUUUCAAAGCUGCAAGUUCCUGGGAUACCUUGGUGAUUCAGCAGAGCUUUUACCACUGAGGCUGCCAUGCUGUCAGCAAGAACAAAUCCAGUCAAGAUUUGGAAGAGCUCUUUCAUCAGAUCAAAAUAUUUAUAAUGUCAAUGCUAAUCAGGUAGAAUUUCUGUGCAAUAUAUUUUUUUUUUCAUUUAUGAAUACGCUAUUUUUGGAGCAAGUGUUUGUACAAUGCUUUGGAAUUCCAUUGCUUUUAAAAAGUAUAACAUGACUUUGCAAAAAAUAGUGUGACUUUUUUUUUUUUUUUGUAAUAAUUUUUGGGAAAAAAAAAAAAAGAUUAUACAGACACAGUUCCACAAAAGGACUUUAAAACAAAACAGGCAGAAUAGAGAUUGCAGCAACCUGACCUACAACAAAAUCCCUCACCAAAUGUAUUAGUGCUUAUUUCCACAGAUACUCAAUAUUCCUGCACAUGGCCAUAGACAUACCAGUAUGGUAAGGCUAUGAAGGAAGGAUCAACCUUGUCUUCUGGCUGAGGAAAUGCAGAGAUAUCUGCCAUUCUUCUUGAUGACAACUUUCUCUCUUUUGAGAGGGUGUCGCAUUCAACUCCUAAACUGGAAGAUAU
Molecule: long non-coding RNA, 733 nt
Filed under: Cairina moschata (Muscovy duck)
Lineage: Eukaryota; Metazoa; Chordata; Aves; Anseriformes; Anatidae
Description: domestica (muscovy Duck (domestic type)) lncRNA (ENSCMMG00000002708.1)
Source: RNAcentral